Molecule: transfer RNA, 76 nt
Filed under: Anaeromyxobacter sp. RBG_16_69_14
Lineage: Bacteria; Pseudomonadati; Myxococcota; Myxococcia; Myxococcales; Anaeromyxobacteraceae
Description: tRNA-His
Rfam family: tRNA
About the family: Transfer RNA (tRNA) molecules are approximately 80 nucleotides in length.
Source: RNAcentral
GUGGGUGUAGCUCAAUCGGUAGAGCACUGGACUGUGGAUCCGGGGGUUAAGGGUUCGAGCCCCUUCACUCACCCCA